UAACGGCAGUGUCUAAUGCAAAUAUUCCCCACACUCAUAAAUAUAAAUUAGAUCCCAAAAUAACCCAACUACCUUAACAUUAAAUUCAUUUUUACCCAAGAAAAUUUUGUUCAGAACAAAUUGUGUGUAAGUCCACAUACAAGGAUAAGCAAAGCACCAUCCUGCCCUUUGAUUAGCUUGCAAUCUCUUAAAAGCAUGUCUUUAGGGAUUAUUUUACAAAUUAAAAAAAAAACCUUCCUCAUAGCAAAGCUCUAGUGAGGAUCAUUUAAGUGUAGCCCAUAAACUCUAAGGAUCCUUCAUCUGAGUCCUACUCUCGCUGAUGAGUCAGGUCUCUUGGAGCAAGGCUGUAUCGGCUUCCUUCUGGGUUCAAAGGGGAUAUCUUGCUCUAAUGCUGUCAAUUUGACCUUCCGUUUUCAUAUGUUCUCUCCAGAAUCAACCAUUAGUCAGCACAAUCAACUGAGAAGAUACAGCAAGAAAAGAACGAUGAACAUCCCCUGCCCCCAAACUGGAAGAUAAUAGAUUGAAAACUGGAAAGAAUCAGGAAUGGAAAUUCCCAAGUGAGCUGAAUGGAGAGGCAGCAAGUGAGAAAAAGUAAGCAAUCUUUACUUGAGCCCUUGGUGCAAGAGGGGAUCCUUUGAUACAAGGGUUAUAUUAUCACAACACCUUAGUAACAGGUUUUUAUGAUGUUCUUUAUAGGAGGGACAUGAGCACUUGAAGAAAAGAGCACACAGAAAAGAAACAGGGAUACUUUCAAUCUCCCCAUACCACAGAGUAAGUGACCUGAGAAAAAGUUCACCCGAUGAAAGGAUUCACUGGUAAUUAUUAAGUGGAAUAGAGAAAUCUUUUAGACCAGCCAGAGGUUAAAAAAAAAACUACCCAACUCAAGGAAAACAUGAUGCUAUGGUAAGAGAAUUUUAGAAUUGCCACCACUUUGCCUGAGGCAACAAGGCACAUAAUUUCCUCAAACCUUAUUCUUUUUAUCUGAGACCCUCAAAAGUUUAAAUUUGUUUGAUAACAGAAGAAUUUCUGUCCCAGCUUGAUUACCUCAGUUUACUUUAUCUUAGACAUCCAGUUUUAGACCUGCUGCUAUCUGAUUAGUUUCUACUCUAUCUGUCUGUCUGCAAAUUCCAAUUAAAACCCCCUAGUAUUUGCUAAUCCAAAUAUUAUUUUACCUGAUGUAGAUCUUUCCCUUCUGCUAUUGGUUCUUUGAUAUGUAAAUCUUUACCUUCCCUUGUUUCCUCUGUAAAACUCUAAUAGUAUCCUUCCUGCCGAUACAACUAAAGACUGUAUAAGAAUUUUUAAAU
This 1304-nucleotide long non-coding RNA is filed under the name Monodelphis domestica (gray short-tailed opossum). RNAcentral's name for it is "lncRNA (ENSMODG00000042413.1)". The record is from RNAcentral. Lineage: Eukaryota; Metazoa; Chordata; Mammalia; Didelphimorphia; Didelphidae.